Long non-coding RNA from Juglans microcarpa x Juglans regia, 152 nucleotides. RefSeq lists it as uncharacterized. NCBI's taxonomy places the organism in Eukaryota, Viridiplantae, Streptophyta, Magnoliopsida, Fagales, Juglandaceae. The record is from RefSeq and is a predicted model, not a curated record. The transcript is spliced from 3 exons.
CACUUGGGCUCUUUGGGGUGCAAUACGUGAAUCCCUUAAGAGAGGAUCAUACCUUGCAAUUCGUGAAUAGGUGUGGUUCAAUCUAUCUUGUUCUUGCAAUUUGGUGCAAUUCGUGAAUCCAAGUUGUUUAUAUUAAUAUUUGAGGUUUAUUU